RNAcentral lists this ribosomal RNA (513 nucleotides) under uncultured bacterium. RNAcentral's name for it is "partial 16S ribosomal RNA". It matches the Rfam family "Bacterial small subunit ribosomal RNA", at positions 28 to 507 of the family's 1533-position model. The record is from RNAcentral.
GACGAACGCUGGCGGCGUGCUUAACACAUGCAAGUCGAACGAAAAGAGGGAAAGAGCUUGCUCUUUCCGGAAUUGAGUGGCAAACGGGUGAGUAACACGUAAACAACCUGCCUUCAGGAUGGGGACAACAGACGGAAACGACUGCUAAUACCGAAUAAGUUCCAAGGGCCGCAUGGCCCAUGGACGAAAAGGUGGCCUCUACCUGUAAGCUAUCGCCUGAAGAGGGGUUUGCGUCUGAUUAGCUGGUUGGAGGGGUAACGGCCCACCAAGGCGACGAUCAGGAGCCGGUCUGAGAGGAUGAACGGCCACACUGGAACUGAGACACGGGCCAGACUCCUACGGGAGGCAGCAGUGGGGGAUCUUCCGCAAUGGGCGAAAGCCUGACGGAGCAACGCCGCGUGAGUGAUGACGGCCUUCGGGUUGUAAAACUCUGUGAUCCGGGACGAAAAGGCAGAGUGCGAAGAACAAACUGCAUUGACGGUACCGGAAAAGCAAGCCACGGCUAACUACGUG